CCUACGGGUGGCAGCAGUGAGGAAUAUUGGUCAAUGGGAGAGAUCCUGAACCAGCCAAGCCGCGUGAGGGAAGACGGUCCUAUGGUUUGUAAACCUCUUUUGUCGGGGAGCAAAAGACGCCACGCGUGGCGUUCCGAGAGUACCCGAAGAAAAAGCAUCGGCUAACUCCGUGCCAGCAGCCGCGGUAAUACGGAGGAUGCGAGCGUUAUCCGGAUUUAUUGGGUUUAAAGGGUGCGCAGGCGGAAGAUCAAGUCAGCGGUAAAAUUGAGAGGCUCAACCUCUUCGAGCCGUUGAAACUGGGUUUCGUGAGUGAGUGAGAGGUAUGCGGAAUGCGUGGUGUAGCGGUGAAAUGCAUAGAUAUCACGCAGAACUCCGAUUGCGAAGGCAGCAUACCGGCGCUCAACUGACGCUCAUGCACGAAAGUGUGGGUAUCGAACAGGAUUAGAUACCCGUGUAGUC
Molecule: ribosomal RNA, 459 nt
Filed under: uncultured bacterium
Lineage: Bacteria
Description: partial 16S ribosomal RNA
Rfam family: Bacterial small subunit ribosomal RNA
Source: RNAcentral